GAAAAACAAUAAAAAUAAUGAAUGAAGAAGGGGACAGUAGUUGUUGUUUGUAAAGAAAAGAAAAGUUAGCUGCUCCACGCGAAGAAGAGAAGCAAAGAAAGAAAUUAUAAGGUGUCUCUCUCUCUCUCUCUCUUGGACUCAUUCUCAUCUAUCUCCAACCUCUAUUUUCAAAAAAACAACACAAAGUGGGUGAAAACAAUGAGCUAUAAGAAACAACAAACAUAGUACUAGUGGUGGUGCCACCGUUCCUUAAUUCUUGUUCUGNNN
Molecule: long non-coding RNA, 267 nt
Filed under: Trifolium pratense (red clover)
Lineage: Eukaryota; Viridiplantae; Streptophyta; Magnoliopsida; Fabales; Fabaceae
Description: long non-coding RNA (TPRA_LNC004121)
Source: RNAcentral